UGCCCCAUGGCUGAGUUGGUUACAGCGUCCGACUGUUAUGUAGAUUAAGCCACGUUUGGCAUCGGAAGGUCGUGAGUUCGAGCCUCACUGGGGCAG
This is a non-coding RNA of Marasmius oreades (fairy-ring Marasmius), 96 nucleotides long. The record is from the annotation of a RefSeq genome assembly. Lineage: Eukaryota; Fungi; Basidiomycota; Agaricomycetes; Agaricales; Marasmiaceae.